Molecule: ribosomal RNA, 252 nt
Filed under: uncultured Ruminococcus sp.
Lineage: Bacteria; Bacillati; Bacillota; Clostridia; Eubacteriales; Oscillospiraceae
Description: partial 16S ribosomal RNA
Rfam family: Bacterial small subunit ribosomal RNA
Source: RNAcentral
UACGGAGGGAGCGAGCGUUGUCCGGAAUUACUGGGUGUAAAGGGAGCGUAGGCGGGGAUGCAAGUUGGGUGUCAAAACUACCGGCUCAACUGGUAGUCGCACUCAAAACUGCAGCUCUUGAGUGAAGUAGAGGCAGGCGGAAUUCCUAGUGUAGCGGUGAAAUGCGUAGAUAUAUGGAAGAACACCAGUGGCGAAGGCGGCCGCCUGGCCUGUUACUGACGCUGAGGCACGAAAGCGUGGGGAGCAAAUAGG